Molecule: long non-coding RNA, 821 nt
Organism: Platichthys flesus (European flounder)
Lineage: Eukaryota; Metazoa; Chordata; Actinopteri; Pleuronectiformes; Pleuronectidae
Exons: 2
Source: RefSeq, a predicted model, not a curated record
CAGAUGGCACACAGACGAGUGCAGGCAGGACAUCUACGUUUGCUGGAAGGUCACUCAUCCAGGGAGAAUACAGACAGGAGCAAUGUUCUCCACCUUCACUCUCACAAGAUGCGAAAUCAGCUCCGCUCCCGGAUCCUUCUUCUGCCUCACACACCUGCACCUUAAUCUUGGUUGGCAGCCCCAAUUUCCUGCCCUCCAUGAUGUUUGAUAAAACAUAAUUGCUGUUUUGGAUUCAGAGUGACUUGUCACAAAGACAGAUGCAUGCAGCUACACGCUAAUGCACGUAUAUUGUAGAGUUUCAUGACGUCUGUAAUUUUCCUAAUAAAUCUGUUGUUGCAGAAAUGGAAAUGUACGCACAUUUAUUUCCAUAUUCAAAAAAGGGCAAAGUUAUGAAUCACAGGGGGUUCUGUAGAGGCCACAUGGACCAAUCACACAGGCAAAUCAACAGAGCCUGAAUAAUCAGUGGUUUUCCUCAUGGACACUUGCCUGGUCGAGCUAAGUCCUUAAAAUCAAGAUAUUUACUGUUACCUUCCCGGGGAGGUGGUGAUUUGUUUGUUUGUCCAUUUCUUUCUUUUGCUUUGUAGGUUCAGAAAAACUACUGGACCCACUAACACAAAACCUGGUGUGUUUAUCGUUCAGGGAAGAACGCAUUACAUUUGAGUGAUGAUCUGGAUUUACAUUCUUCACUGAUUUGUUAGAGAAGAAUUCAUGCGUCUUAAUGUUUAGGAAAUCAGGAUCUAGUUUCAUCAGGGGGACUGUCGGGCCCAUGUGGACAAUGUUGAAGCCUUUUGCAAAUCAAUAAAACGUUUCCUGUCAACAAA